Molecule: long non-coding RNA, 663 nt
Organism: Harpia harpyja (harpy eagle)
Lineage: Eukaryota; Metazoa; Chordata; Aves; Accipitriformes; Accipitridae
Exons: 2
Source: RefSeq, a predicted model, not a curated record
CGCCCCCGGACGCGCGUCACUUCCAGCAGCGGCCGGCGGGGCGGGCACGUAAAUAAAUAAAUAAAUAAUAAAUAAACGAGCGACUAACGCUGCUGUGGUGAUACCUACCCCCCCCCGGGUAAGGUUAGACGGUGGUUUAACCGCACAGUUGCCAUCUUAAGUGCUGGCAAGUCGCUUACACCGCGGUAGGGCGGCCACCUUGGACGAGGGGUGAGGCGAUGCCGUGGGGGACGCCGCGGCCGCCAUGUUGAGCUUGGGAAGAAGAGGGCAGCGCCGGGUUUGCGGUGUUUUCUGUGCCCUGGCGUAGGCAAUAUGAGGAUAAACAACAGCCCGGUUCAUUGGCACAGGAGUGAAGAACUGCAUGCGGAAAAGGAACGGGGCAGCCUUCCUACCAUAGCUGUGUCCAGAGCCGGCUGUCGCUUCUCCAAACAGACGAUGGCACCUGAGCCGGUUUGGAAUCUGCAGUCCUAACAAGCUCAGCCAAGUUUUGUAAGCUGAAGAUCUCCAUUUAUCUUUAUCGUGUCAAUUGCUGACAGUGUUUCAAUACGGUGGUAAAAAUCAAAGAGCUGAUGUCCAUCCACAAAUAUUCUAAAACGGGGAUGCUCGCAAAGUAUCUCAACCUGUAAAAAAGUAAAAUGAUGAAGCAUGUUGUUCACAGUGUAA